RNAcentral lists this ribosomal RNA (65 nucleotides) under Streptomyces parvulus. RNAcentral's name for it is "partial 23S ribosomal RNA". The record is from RNAcentral. Lineage: Bacteria; Bacillati; Actinomycetota; Actinomycetes; Kitasatosporales; Streptomycetaceae.
AUCUGGAAGCACCGUGAGGUGUGGAGGUGACCGGUACUAAUAGGCCGAGGGCUUGUCCUCAGUUG